GGGCUCUAUGAAGGAUCAGAGGGUGCUGAGGAGGCACAGAGAAAGAGCUUCUAACUUGGGUAUUUUACUGUUCCAGGGUUGCCACUCAAGUACCUACAGAACAAACGGGUGUAGCUGGAAACUGUGGCAAACUGAAAGCAUGUAGGCACGGAGUAAGUAGCUAGAGCUGAUUUUUUUCAGUAAAGGCCACAAAUCCCAACUUUUAUGAGCUCCUCUUUUAAAUGCUGUAAAUGUUUUACAGUGGCGGGGCGUGGUGGCUCACGCCUGUAAUCCCAGCACUUUGGGAGGCCGAGGGGCAGAUCACCUGAGGUCAGGAGUUCAAGACCAGCCUGGCCAACAUCGUGAAACCUUUUCUCUACUAAAAUUACAAAAAUUAGCCGGGCAUGGUGGUGCAUGCUUGUAAUUCCAGCUGCUUAGGAGGCCGAGGCGGGAGGAUUGCUUGAACCCGGGAAGCAGAGGUUGCAGUGAGCUGAGAUCGUGCCACUGCACUCCAGCCUGGGCGACAGAGCAAGAUUCCGUCACACAAAAAAAGGGGGGGGCGUGGGGGGCGGCCAAACCAAACCCCGCAAGACACAUUUGGCUAUGACCUGCCAGUUUGCUAGGCAUUCUUCCAACCUUCCCUCCCUCUGACCAAGAAACUGAGUGUCCACUAUUUUAGGCCCUGGGAAAUUCAGUAGCGAGCAGACCAGACAGCUUCGUUGCAUCAUGGGGGCUCUGGUACUGUGCUUCUCCAACUUCAGGAUGUGUAGGAAUCACCUGAGCAGUCUUGUUGAGAGGCGGACACUGACUCGGGAGGUCUGCGGUAGGGCCUGAACGUUUGCCUUUGCGGUUCUAACAAGCUCUCAGGUGAUGGCGAUGCUACUGUUCCCUGGCCCCGAGGUGGAGGAAGAUUUAAGUAAAAGCUUCCUGGAGGAGGCGCAAGUGAACCGCAGGAGCUUUCCCGGACGCCCGAGAAAGGGAGAAACCCCGAAGGAAUUCCUCCUCUCUCGGGGCUGGGUCUCCGCAUCCACGCCGGGUUUGGUUUCCCAGGCUAUCCCACGUGUUCUGGCGUCCGUGUCAAUCAGGUUUUCCCCGGCUGGGUCCGGGUUUAAAGGCUGCUGCUGCGCAGGGCGCUCCCAUGGUGCCGCGCGGCGGGCGGGUUUGGAUUUUAAAUCCCCGCGGCCAAUCAGUGGCGCGCAGGCUUUUGUAACGUUCCCAGCGCCGCGUUUGAAUUCGGGGAGGAGCGGAGCGGUGCGGAGCUUCUGCUCGGAUCCAGGUCUGCAGAGCAGCUUCGGGAGCAUGAGUGCGGCAGUGACUGCAGGGAAGCUGGCACGGGCACCGGCCGACCCUGGGAAAGCCGGGGUCCCCGGAGUUGCAGCUCCCGGAGCUCCGGCGGCGGCUCCACCAGCGAAAGAGAUCCCAGAGGUCCUAGUGGACCCACGCAGCCGGCGGCGCUAUGUGCGGGGCCGCUUUUUGGGCAAGGGCGGCUUUGCCAAGUGCUUCGAGAUCUCGGACGCGGACACGAAGGAGGUGUUCGCGGGCAAGAUUGUGCCUAAGUCUCUGCUUCUCAAGCCGCACCAGAGGGAGAAGAUGUCCAUGGAAAUAUCCAUUCACCGCAGCCUCGCCCACCAGCACGUCGUAGGAUUCCACGGCUUUUUCGAGGACAACGACUUCGUGUUCGUGGUGUUGGAGCUCUGCCGCCGGAGGGUGAGUGUCGCUGCUGGGGAACUGGAACUGCCUGCGGGGCAGUUGGAGCGCCCAGACCUGGAGCUGCUGGAAAGAGUGCCCAGCAAGGGAGAGCCUGGGACUUGGAGCUGCUAGAGAAGGGUGCUGGGAGCCUCCCGCUUAGGUAUGGAAAGUGUCUUUGGUAAGGGCUUCUUGGCUCUGGGAGCUGCUAGAGGAGGGGGUUCCAGUGAAGUGGAGUCUGAGUCAUGUUGCUGAUAGGGAAGUCAGCUUCUGGACGCGAGGUGCUGGGGGGAGGGGUGCUGGUAAUGGACGCUAGGGCCCUGGUGUGCCCAGGGAGGAGUCCCAGGUUAGUGAUGCCGCGCCCUGGGAACUUCUGGGGUGGAGCUGGGUCAGUGUGGGGGGGUAGUUGGAGCCAGACUUCGGACCUUCCGGGGGAGAUAAGAGUCAGGAAAGGGAUCUGCUGCUGGGGACUCGGAGCUUCCGGAGUGGGGCUGAGAGAGGACCCCCAGGUAAGGGGGGAAGCUAGUAGGAGAAGGGGUGCUGCGAAUGGUUGUGGACAGUGUUGAGGCAGGGUCCAGAUGCCGUUAUGCUGGAGAAGGAUUGGGGUGGGGGCAUAGGGAAGGAGAGAAACCCACCAAGACCCCUCUUUCAUCCCUUGGGAGUCCAGAGUCCAGUCCUGUGCUUCCUUUGCCUGGUAACCGUCUCCCUUCCCCACCGGCCUCAAUCCACCUCCCCAUCCCUCCUGCCCUCUCCUUCCCACCCACAGUCUCUCCUGGAGCUGCACAAGAGGAGGAAAGCGCUGACUGAGCCUGAGGCCCGAUACUACCUACGGCAAAUUGUGCUUGGCUGCCAGUACCUGCACCGAAACCGAGUUAUUCACCGAGACCUCAAGCUGGGCAACCUUUUCCUGAAUGAAGAUCUGGAGGUGAAAAUAGGGGAUUUUGGACUGGCAACCAAAGUCGAAUAUGACGGGGAGAGGAAGAAGACCCUGUGUGGGACUCCUAAUUACAUAGCUCCCGAGGUGCUGAGCAAGAAAGGGCACAGUUUCGAGGUGGAUGUGUGGUCCAUUGGGUGUAUCAUGUAUACCUUGUUAGUGGGCAAACCACCUUUUGAGACUUCUUGCCUAAAAGAGACCUACCUCCGGAUCAAGAAGAAUGAAUACAGUAUUCCCAAGCACAUCAACCCCGUGGCCGCCUCCCUCAUCCAGAAGAUGCUUCAGACAGAUCCCACUGCCCGCCCAACCAUUAACGAGCUGCUUAACGACGAGUUCUUUACUUCUGGCUAUAUCCCUGCCCGUCUCCCCAUCACCUGCCUGACCAUUCCACCGAGGUUUUCGAUUGCUCCCAGCAGCCUGGACCCCAGCACCCGGAAGCCCCUCACAGUCCUCAAUAAAGGCUUGGAGAACCCCCUGCCUGAGCGUCCCCGGGAAAAAGAAGAACCAGUGGUUCGAGAGACAGGUGAGGUGGUCGACUGCCACCUCAGUGACAUGCUGCAGCAGCUGCACAGUGUCAAUGCCUCCAAGCCCUCGGAGCGUGGGCUGGUCAGGCAAGAGGAGGCUGAGGAUCCUGCCUGCAUCCCCAUCUUCUGGGUCAGCAAGUGGGUGGACUAUUCGGACAAGUACGGCCUUGGGUAUCAGCUCUGUGAUAACAGCGUGGGGGUGCUCUUCAAUGACUCAACACGCCUCAUCCUCUACAAUGAUGGUGACAGCCUGCAGUACAUAGAGCGUGACGGCACUGAGUCCUACCUCACCGUGAGUUCCCAUCCCAACUCCUUGAUGAAGAAGAUCACCCUCCUUAAAUAUUUCCGCAAUUACAUGAGCGAGCACUUGCUGAAGGCAGGUGCCAACAUCACGCCGCGCGAAGGUGAUGAGCUCGCCCGGCUGCCCUACCUACGGACCUGGUUCCGCACCCGCAGCGCCAUCAUCCUGCACCUCAGCAACGGCAGCGUGCAGAUCAACUUCUUCCAGGAUCACACCAAGCUCAUCUUGUGCCCACUGAUGGCAGCCGUGACCUACAUCGACGAGAAGCGGGACUUCCGCACAUACCGCCUGAGUCUCCUGGAGGAGUACGGCUGCUGCAAGGAGCUGGCCAGCCGGCUCCGCUACGCCCGCACUAUGGUGGACAAGCUGCUGAGCUCACGCUCGGCCAGCAACCGUCUCAAGGCCUCCUAAUAGCUGCCCUCCCCUCCGGACUGGUGCCCUCCUCACUCCCACCUGCAUCUGGGGCCCAUACUGGUUGGCUCCCGCAGUGCCAUGUCUGCAGUGUGCCCCCCAGCCCCGGUGGCUGGGCAGAGCUGCAUCAUCCUUGCAGGUGGGGGUUGCUGUAUAAGUUAUUUUUGUACAUGUUCGGGUGUGGGUUCUACAGCCUUGUCCCCUCCCCCUCAACCCCACCAUAUGAAUUGUACAGAAUAUUUCUAUUGAAUUCGGAACUGUCCUUUCCUUGGCUUUAUGCACAUUAAACAGAUGUGAAUAUU
RNAcentral lists this small RNA (4137 nucleotides) under Pan troglodytes (chimpanzee). RNAcentral describes it as "retained intron". Lineage: Eukaryota; Metazoa; Chordata; Mammalia; Primates; Hominidae. The record is from RNAcentral.